This 241-nucleotide ribosomal RNA is filed under the name uncultured bacterium. RNAcentral's name for it is "partial 16S ribosomal RNA". It matches the Rfam family "Bacterial small subunit ribosomal RNA", at positions 524 to 764 of the family's 1533-position model. The record is from RNAcentral.
UACGUAGGGUGCGAGCGUUAAUCGGAAUUACUGGGCGUAAAGCGUGCGCAGGCGGUUUUGUAAGCCGGAUGUGAAAUCCCCGGGCUUAACCUGGGAAUGGCAUUCGGGACUGCAAGGCUGGAGUGCGGCAGAGGAGACUGGAAUUCCUGGUGUAGCAGUGAAAUGCGUAGAUAUCAGGAGGAACACCGAUGGCGAAGGCAGGUCUCUGGGCUGACACUGACGCUCAUGCACGAAAGCGUGG